AGCAGCCGCGGUAAUUCCAGCUCCAAUAGCGUAUAUUAAAGUUGUUGCAGUUAAAAAGCUCGUAGUUGAAUUUCGGGAUCAAGGAAUCGGUCAUGCCUUGGUAUGUACUGGUUUUAUUGGUUCUCACCUUCUAAAGAACCAUGAUGUCAUUCAUUUGAUGUUAUGGGGAAUUAGGACUGUUACCUUGAAAAAAUUAGAGUGUUUAAAGCAAGCUUACGCUUGAAUACAUUAGCAUGGAAUAAUGAAAUAGGACAUCAGAUUCUAUUUUGUUGGUUUCUAGGAUCGAUGUAAUGAUUAAUAGGGAUAGUUGGGGGCAUUAGUAUUCAAUUGUCAGAGGUGAAAUUCUUGGAUUUAUUGAAGACUAACUACUGCGAAAGCAUUUGCCAAGGAUGUUUUCAUUAAUCAAGAACGAAAGUUAGGGGAUCGAAGACGAUCAGAUACCGUCGUAGUCUUAACCAUAAACUAUGCCGACUAGGAUCGGAUGAUGUUAAUUUUUAAUGACUC
This 504-nucleotide ribosomal RNA is filed under the name uncultured Glomus. RNAcentral describes it as "SSU rRNA". It matches the Rfam family "Eukaryotic small subunit ribosomal RNA", at positions 569 to 1078 of the family's 1831-position model. The record is from RNAcentral. Lineage: Eukaryota; Fungi; Glomeromycota; Glomeromycetes; Glomerales; Glomeraceae.